CUGCAGUAUAAGUGCCUGCCUAACAAGCGUGAGGUUGUGAGUUCAAUCCCCAGUACAAAAAAAAAAAAAAAAUAGAUGUUAAGAAUAAACACGGAAGUCCUGAUAGUGUUAGGACAAUGGUGAUUUAUAGGAAAACACAAAAAGCAUGUGGUCAUGUGUGACAGCGGUCAAAUUCCAACUACUCCAGUGUAAAUGAGGCUCACAGAUGGAUUUCUAACAAGUAGAGACAGAGGAGACAGCAUGUGAUUUGUGAGACUGGGUCACAGAAGGCAGUCAGUCUCCCCUUGGCCUGCUCCCCGGGUCACUUGCUCCAGACUGAGCCUGUAGCUACGAAGAGACUCAAGCAGAGCAGCGGAGGCCCACAGGAAGGAAGUAAGCCACCAGCCACAGCCACAAGCGAACUCAGAAGCUCAUCCCCCACCCCCAGGCAGAGCUCCCAAUGACUCCUGCCGCCGCUAGUUCCCCACAGUUCUAUCAUUUGGUUCCCUGACCAGGAACAGCAGACGAGAGACUCCUGGGCCCUCCCAGUUUGAGUCCCCUGCCGUUCAGGACCAGGACCGGACUGCAUCCUGCAUUAAUUCCUCACUUCUACACUCGGGAGCUGUAAACUUGUCACUGCUGGUUCGCAAAAAACACCGACCCGAUUUACCACAGUUCUGAGACAGGUAAACCAACACAAGGUGGAGCUUCCUGGGGUCCCCCCGCCAUGGACCAUGCCUCAAAUGCAGCAAAAGACAUUGGGCAAGAGAGUACACCAUCCUGGCGUUCUUUGAGACCUUACUCCAGGGCUAUUGGACUGUCCUAGCCACCAGAGAGUGGUCUAACAUACAUGUAUUCACCAGUGAAGUUGUCCUGGCUAAAACACCUGGCACCAGCUUCUACAUGGGCAUCAACUGUCAUCUCGUCGACUCCCCUAGACCCCAGUAAAGCUCCGUCUUCCAGUUAAAGAGAGAAAUCUUCACCCCUUUUCAUAAUAAUAAUCAUAAGACGGGAUAUGAAAGAGUUUUGGCCCAGACAGGACACUGUAGUUGGUAAAGCCUCAGGUGGAACCAAGGAGCUCCAUCUCCCCCACCCCUAGGAAUUUACCUAUGGCACCAAAAGAAUACCAAUGGGCUAUGUGCAUCACUGAUGCCCUUAGGUUCCACCCCAAAUCUAGGCUACUUAUAUGCCUCCACUCCCUGUGUUCCACGGAGAGAUCACCGACCCUGGGGUGGAGAUGCCACGCUCCAUGGGGUUGGGGGUAUCUCUCCCCACAUUCUCAAAAUAAAGGUCAUUUAUAUUUCA
Cavia porcellus (domestic guinea pig) is the source of this 1284-nucleotide long non-coding RNA. RefSeq lists it as uncharacterized. The transcript is spliced from 4 exons. The record is from RefSeq and is a predicted model, not a curated record. Lineage: Eukaryota; Metazoa; Chordata; Mammalia; Rodentia; Caviidae.